UACGAAGGGUGCUAGCGUUGUUCGGAAUCACUGGGCGUAAAGCGCGCGUAGGCGGCUUGACAAGUCAGAGGUGAAAUCCCCAGGCUCAACCUGGGAACUGCCUUUGAAACUGUUAGGCUGGAGUGUCGGAGGGGAUGGCGGAAUUGCUAAUGUAGAGGUGAAAUUCGUAGAUAUUAGCAGGAACACCGGUGGCGAAGGCGGCCAUCUGGACGACAACUGACGCUGAGGCGCGAAAGCGUGGGGAUCAAACAGG
Molecule: ribosomal RNA, 253 nt
Filed under: uncultured bacterium
Lineage: Bacteria
Description: partial 16S ribosomal RNA
Rfam family: Bacterial small subunit ribosomal RNA
Source: RNAcentral